RNAcentral lists this transfer RNA (76 nucleotides) under bacterium. Its description in RNAcentral is "tRNA-Ala". It matches the Rfam family "tRNA". Rfam says of the family: Transfer RNA (tRNA) molecules are approximately 80 nucleotides in length. Their secondary structure includes four short double-helical elements and three loops (D, anti-codon, and T loops). The record is from RNAcentral.
GGGCCUGUAGCUCAGUUGGUAGAGCGCCUGCUUUGCAUGCAGGAAGUCCGCGGUUCGACUCCGCGCAGGUCCACCA